AAAAAUGUAAAUACCACGAGCCCUAUCUGAGAAGGGUGAGGGAAGCCCGAAUGAGAUAAUGUGUGCGAAUGGCUACCAUGUUGGAGGGCUUGGGUUCUUCGCACUCGGUCCUAUCUCCACUUCCAGGCAGUCGACUUUCCUGAGACCUGGGUGCCUUGGCCGCCCAGGCUAGGAGACUUGAAGCUCUUCUCUCCUCAAACCUGGGCCGAUUUGCUUGUUAUCUUCUCAAAGGGUAGAGUGAGGGCUGCUGACGCGCUCCUGGAACAGUCACCGUGAUGACUCGGGGCUCCGCUGGCACCCUGGGCACACAGGCCGUGCUGUUGCCUCCCCUCCCACACCCUCCGGAGAUUGCCAUUUUCUAUUUCCAAACCAAACAAGACACCCUGAAGGACGCUCCUCCUGCGGCCCCAUCAUCUGCUUCAGGCCAGAUUUGGAAAGUCAGCGUGAUUGAGGAAAUGCUGGAAGAGCACCAGCCUGCACGCUGCAGAGGCCUCUUUAGAAACUUCUGCUGGAAGGGACGUCCCCAUGCUUUAGGUCGCAGGACAGAGCUUGCAGAUGCCUUGGAAACCGGUAGGAGCCAAGCUGCGUCCUGGGAGACCCCCGAGCUCUGCACACCUUCCCUCCGCCCUCCCGGCUGUGGCAACGCUCGGGGGUCGUUUAGGGGUCCGCGUGCCUUUUGCUCCGCGGCCCCCGGCCUCGGAUCCCCUCUCCCAUCAUGAUUCUGAGGCCUCCCCAGCCAUGUGGAACUGUAAGUCUAAUUAAACCUCUUUUUUCCCCCAGUCUUGGGCAUGUCUUUAUCAGCAGUGUGAAAAUGGACUAAUACAGUAAUAUAUAAAAAGUUUGCUGCUAUAUUGCUCCAUUUACUCUCCUCUCCUUUGUCCUGUUAUUGUUAUACAAAUGACAUCUUUGUAUGUUGUAUGCCCAUCAGCACAGAUUUAUGGCUAUUGCUUUAUGGAGUGCAUUUAAAAUUAAGUAGGCAAAAAAAGAGAGUUGCAAACAAAAUAUGCAAUUAUACUCUCUUUUAUAAUUUCCUAUGUAUUGAGCUUUACUAGUACUUUUAUUUUUUCUUGUGGAUUUGAGUUACUAUCUAGUGUCCUUUUAUUUUAGCCCAAAGGGCUUCUUGUAAUUUUUAUUGUAGGGCAGGUCUGCUAGCUAUAGAUUCUUGCAGUUUUUGUUUAUCUUAAUGCCUGCUUCGUGUUUGAAUAAUAGUUUUGCUGGAUGUAGAAUUCUUGGUUGACAGUCUUUUCCAUUCAGCAUUUCAAAUGUGUCAUUCCAUUACCUUAUGGCCUCCAUUAUUUUUGAUGAGAAAUCAGCUGUUAAUGUUAUUUAUGAGUUCAUGUAUAUGAUGAGUUGCUUCUUUCUUGCUGUUUUUAAGAUGCUGUCUUGGUCUUUGUCUUUUGACAGUUUGUUUGCAAUGUAUCUUGGUCUCAGUUUCUUUGUGUUGAUCCUCCUUGGAGUUCGCUGAGUUUUCUUGGAUGUGUAGAUUAAUGUUUUGCAUCAAAUUUUUAGCUAUUUGGUCAUUAUUUCAUCAAAUAUGCUUUUUAUAUUUUUCUCUACUCUACAUUUUGGACUCCCAUUAUGCAUGUAGUUUAUAUGCCUCAUUAUGUCCUAGAAGUUUCUGAGAAUCUGUUCAUUUUUUUGUCAUUCUUUUUCUUUUCUGUUCCUCAUACUGGAUCACCUCUAUUAAUGUAUAUUUUAGAAUCUUGAUUUUUAAUUUGGCCUGCUCAAAUCUGCUGUUGAGUUCCUCCAGUGAAUCUUCAUUUCAGUUUUUAUAAUUUUUGUAUUCUAGAACUGCUAUUUGCUGUUUUUUUAAAAAAAAUUUCUAUCUUUUUAUUGAUAUUCUGUAUUUGGUAAGAAAUCAUUUUCAGACUUUACUUUUUAAGAUAUGGUUGCCUUUAGUUUUCUGGAGAUAUUUAAAAUUGCUGAUUUAAGUGUUUCUCUGGUAAAUAUAAAGUCUAGGCUUCCUCAAGUAUAGUUUCUUUUGAUUGCUUUUUUCCUUGUGUUUAGGCCAUAACUUAUUGUUUCUUUACAUGUAUUAUAGUUUUUUCUUAAGAACUGGACAUUUUAAAUUAUGUAAUGUGGCAGCUCUAUAAAUCAACUUUUCUCUCCCUCUUCACCCAGGGUUUGUUGUUGUUUGUUUGUUUGUUUAGUGGCUUUUCAGAAUUAAUUGUGUCAAGUCCAGAUUCUUUGUCAUGUGUGGCUGCUGAAAUCUCUGCUCAGUUAGUUUGGAGAUCAGCUAAUGAUUGGGUAGCAAAUCCCUUAACUAUCUGGAACCAAUAAGUUUUCUAGUUUCUGCCAAGGGGCUCUGUGUGUUUUGGGGCAUGCCUUUAUUAGUCAGUUGUGUGGUUUUCGUGUCCACCUUAGCCAUCACUUGCUGCUUGCACAGAGCCUCAAGGUCAGCCAGAGACAAGAAUUUGGGAACUUCUCAGG
This 2430-nucleotide long non-coding RNA is filed under the name Homo sapiens (human). RNAcentral's name for it is "non-protein coding LINC01394:21". Lineage: Eukaryota; Metazoa; Chordata; Mammalia; Primates; Hominidae. The record is from RNAcentral.